UUUCGGAGCCAGAUCUUCGCUCCGCGUUCUUUGAACCAGGAGAGGAAAGUCCGGACACCACAGGGCAGGAUUCCCACCGAAAGAGGGGGCGCGGCGCUUCAAGGCGCCGUGACGGACAGUGUCACAGAGAACAAACCGCCAUCCGGGCAACCGGGUGGUAAGGGUGAAAAGGUGGGGUAAGAGCCCACCGCGUCCCGCGCAAGCGGGCCGGCAGGAAAAACCCAAUCCGGUGCAAGACUAAAUAGGGGACUCGGCGGCCCGUCGGACAGUCCCGGGUUAGUCGCAUUCCGCGGCGUCGGCGCAAGCCGGCAGCCCGGAGAGGCCGCGUCUUCGGGCGCGCCUAGAGAAAUGAAGAUCACGGCGCCGCUCGCGGCGCCCGACAGAAUCCGGCUUACCCGCUGCGGAACUAG
Molecule: RNase P RNA, 410 nt
Filed under: Opitutia bacterium
Lineage: Bacteria; Pseudomonadati; Verrucomicrobiota; Opitutia
Description: RNase P RNA component class A
Rfam family: Bacterial RNase P class A
About the family: Ribonuclease P (RNase P) is a ubiquitous endoribonuclease, found in archaea, bacteria and eukarya as well as chloroplasts and mitochondria. Its best characterised activity is the generation of mature 5'-ends of tRNAs by cleaving the 5'-leader elements of precursor-tRNAs.
Source: RNAcentral